GAGUUUGAUCCUGGCUCAGAAUCAACGCUGGCGGCGCGCUUAACACAUGCAAGUCGAACGAGAAAGGGGAGCAAUCCCUGAGUAAAGUGGCGUACGGGUGAGUGACACGUGGGUAAUCUGCCUUCUGGUGGGGAAUAACUCUGGGAAACCGGAGCUAAUACCGCAUAAGACCGAGAGGUGAAAGGAGCAAUUCGCCGGAAGAGGAGCCCGCGGCCGAUUAGCUAGUUGGGAGGGUAAAAGCCUACCAAGGCAAAGAUCGGUAGCCGGCCUGAGAGGGCACACGGCCACACUGGCACUGAAACACGGGCCAGACUCCUACGGGAGGCAGCAGUGGGGAAUCUUGCACAAUGGGGGAAACCCUGAUGCAGCGACGCCGCGUGAGUGAUGAAGCCCUUCGGGGUGUAAAGCUCUUUCGGCAGGGACGAUAAUGACGGUACCUGAAGAAGAAGCUGCGGCUAACUACGUGCCAGCAGCCGCGGUAAUACGUAGGCAGCGAGCGUUGUUCGGAGUUACUGGGCGUAAAGCGUGCGUAGGCGGUGUCCUAAGUCUGGUGUGAAAUCUCCCGGCUCAACUGGGAGGGUGCGCUAGAAACUGGGGUGCUGGAGUGUGGGAGAGGUAAGCGGAAUUCCUGGUGUAGCGGUGAAAUGCGUAGAUAUCAGGAGGAACACCUGCGGUGUAGACGGCUUACUGGACCACUACUGACGCUGAGGCACGAAAGCGUGGGGAGCAAACAGGAUUAGAUACCCUGGUAGUCCACGCCCUAAACGAUGCAUACUUGGUGUGGGCAGUUCAGUCUGUCC
RNAcentral lists this ribosomal RNA (800 nucleotides) under uncultured bacterium. RNAcentral's name for it is "bacterial SSU rRNA". It matches the Rfam family "Bacterial small subunit ribosomal RNA", at positions 9 to 842 of the family's 1533-position model. The record is from RNAcentral.